RNAcentral lists this ribosomal RNA (487 nucleotides) under uncultured bacterium. Its description in RNAcentral is "partial 16S ribosomal RNA". It matches the Rfam family "Bacterial small subunit ribosomal RNA", at positions 28 to 507 of the family's 1533-position model. The record is from RNAcentral.
GAUGAACGCUAGCGAUAGGCCUAACACAUGCAAGUCGAGGGGCAGCACAAGGUAGCUUGCUAUCUGGGUGGCGACCGGCGCACGGGUGCGUAACGCGUAUGCAACUUGCCCUAUACAGGAGGAUAACCCGUCGAAAGACGGACUAAUACUGCGUAUGCUCACAACUUGGCAUCAAGUGGUGAGGAAAGAAAUUCGGUAUAGGAUAGGCAUGCGUCCCAUUAGCUUGUUGGUGAGGUAACGGCUCACCAAGGCAACGAUGGGUAGGGGAACUGAGAGGUUUAUCCCCCACACUGGUACUGAGACACGGACCAGACUCCUACGGGAGGCAGCAGUGAGGAAUAUUGGUCAAUGGGCGCGAGCCUGAACCAGCCAAGUCGCGUGAAGGAUGACUGUCUUAUGGAUUGUAAACUUCUUUUAUACGGGAAUAACAAGAGUCACGUGUGACUCCCUGCAUGUACCGUAUGAAUAAGCGUCGGCUAACUCCGUG